This 258-nucleotide ribosomal RNA is filed under the name uncultured organism. RNAcentral's name for it is "partial 16S ribosomal RNA". It matches the Rfam family "Bacterial small subunit ribosomal RNA", at positions 524 to 776 of the family's 1533-position model. The record is from RNAcentral.
UACAGAGGCGACGAGCGUUAUAGAUGAUAACUGGGCGUAAAACAUGUACAGGCGGAUAUGAUCGAAAGCUUAGUAGAAAUGUUUGCACAUUGGUGCAAAUCUAACUUCGCACUGAAUAUCUUGAGAUAUACAGGGGAUAAUAGAAAAUAAUGUGGUACUAUAGGAUUUCCAAUACUAUAUUAGGUAAUACCAAAGGCGAAGGCAUUUAUCUGGGUAUAUUCUGACGCUGAAGACAUGAAACAUUAGGGAGUGAGCGGG